Non-coding RNA from Balaenoptera ricei (Rice's whale), 1329 nucleotides. The record is from the annotation of a RefSeq genome assembly. Lineage: Eukaryota; Metazoa; Chordata; Mammalia; Artiodactyla; Balaenopteridae.
GGAUGGCACUCCUGGAAGCGGUCCUCUUCUCCUCCCUCUGGGCUUUUGGCCUUGGGCAAUUAAAGUGGGAGCAACCUGAAAUAUCAGUUACUGGAGCAAGAGAUAAGAGUGCAGUGAUAUCUUGCAAGGUGUCCUCUGCAGACUUUAGCCAAGAAAACAUCUACUGGUACCGGCAUAAACCAGAUCAGAGUAUAGAACAUCUAGCAUACGUCGUAACAGGCCCUGCUCUAAAUCACUUAGGAGGGAAGAAAAACAAGAUUGAGGCCAGAAAAGACGUCCCCACUUCCACUUCUACCUUGAAAAUAAGUUUCUUAGAGAAAGAAGAUGAGGCCACGUACUACUGUGCCAGCUGGUCAGGUUGGAUCAAGAUAUUUGGAGAAGGAACUAAGCUUGUAGUAACUCUCCCUGAUAGAAGACUUGAUGUAGACAUGUCUCCCAAGCCCACUAUAUUUCUUCCUUCGAUUGAUGAAAUAAACCUCCAUGAGGCUGGAACACAUCUUUGCCUUCUCGAGAAUUUUUUCCCUGAUGUUAUUAAGGUCUAUUGGAAAGAAAAGAAUGGCAACAUAGUUCUGGAAUCCCAGCAGGGAAAUAUCAUCAAGACUAAUGAUACAUACAUGAAAUUCAGCUGGCUGACCGUGACUAAAAAGUCAAUGGAUAAUGAACACGUAUGUAUCGUCAAACACGAGAAUAAUAAAAGAGGAAUUGAUCAAGAGAUUCUUUUCCCUUCAAUUAACAAAGAGGUCACUACACAUGCCUGCGUGAAAAAAAGAAGUGAUUCCCUGCAGCUGCAGCUCAUGAACACCAGUGCCUACUACACCUACCUCCUUCUCCUCCUCAAGAGCUCGGUCUACUUUGUCAUCGUCGCCUGCUGUGUGUGUAGGAGAACAGCCGUCUGCGGCCACGGGAAGAGCUCGUGACAGAGGGGACCACAAAGGGGUCACCUUUCCUUCAUCAUCUCUUGUCUCUGAAAGUGUCUGCUGAGGAUCUAGCUGGGCUUCCUUUCUGGGUUUGGGUUAUGUCAGUUCACAUGCGUAUUCUUCUGUGUGCCAUUAUUGUGUAAGGGCUUUUCAAAGCACUGGGCAAGCAGACAGUUUGACUCCGUGACAGGGAAUUCUGCCAUCACUCGGGGGCAGGGCCCAGGGCUGGCCCAGGGGAGCCUCUCCCACCACUGUCCCCACAACCGCACCAGCUCCUCCUGCCCCCGAGUCCUUGUGCCUCCUGAGGGCGCACAGCGGGCAGCUCCCCUCUCCUCCCUCAGUGCCUCCACCCAGACCACGGCCCCCACCCUCCCUGCCACCCACCCUGGGGCCGCCAGCUUUGCCACUUGAA